UGGGGAAUUUUGGACAAUGGGGGAAACCCUGAUCCAGCCAUCCCGCGUGUGCGAUGAAGGCCUUCGGGUUGUAAAGCACUUUUGGCAGGAAAGAAACGUCAUGGGUUAAUACCCCGUGAAACUGACGGUACCUGCAGAAUAAGCACCGGCUAACUACGUGCCAGCAGCCGCGGUAAUACGUAGGGUGCAAGCGUUAAUCGGAAUUACUGGGCGUAAAGCGUGCGCAGGCGGUUCGGAAAGAAAGAUGUGAAAUCCCAGAGCUCAACUUUGGAACUGCAUUUUUGACUGCCGGGCUAGAGUGUGUCAGAGGGAGGUGGAAUUCCGCGUGUAGCAGUGAAAUGCGUAGAUAUGCGGAGGAACACCGGUGGCGAAGGCUGCCUGCUGGUAUAACACUGACGCUCAUGCACGAAAGCGUGGGGAGCAAACAGG
This 429-nucleotide ribosomal RNA is filed under the name Acidobacteriota bacterium. Its description in RNAcentral is "Acidobacteria bacterium partial 16S ribosomal RNA". It matches the Rfam family "Bacterial small subunit ribosomal RNA", at positions 355 to 776 of the family's 1533-position model. The record is from RNAcentral. Lineage: Bacteria; Pseudomonadati; Acidobacteriota.